Molecule: microRNA precursor, 103 nt
Filed under: Marmota monax (woodchuck)
Lineage: Eukaryota; Metazoa; Chordata; Mammalia; Rodentia; Sciuridae
Source: RNAcentral
AGUAUAAUUGCUGGCCAUAUAAAAAUUCCAUGUUUAGUUUUUAAAGAAACUGCUGAACUUUUUUCCACAAUUGUCAUAUUAUUUUUACAUUCACACAAGCAAU